GAACGAUGUUUGUACAACGCCACGCCACUAUGAACUGCAGGGCGUGUCCUACAUGUUACCAGCGACCUUGCUCCGAGGUAGCGAGGGCUACAUUAAGGUUGUCAACACUGGGACCGUCAAUGUUGACUGGGAAGCCGGCGAGAUUUUAGCUCGAGCCGAGAGCUAUGACGAAUUAGCCAGCCAGCCUAGCCAGGAUGGCCGACUGUAACGCCACACCAUAUUGCCUAGCCGAGCCUUAUGACGCCACGCCAUAGCCAAGCGAAGCCAAGCCAAAGCCAAAGCCAUACGGUUCGAUAACGAUCUUCCGGUUGUGAGUGACAUUACGUUCCACCGCCAAAUAAAGAGGGUAUAAAUGAGCCGAUUGUUGAUUUAUGUGAUUAUUCUUGUGUUAGCAUUCAAAUAAGUAGAAACGCUGCCAGUUUGUAUAAGUGAUUAUUAAUAAAGUAAUAAUUGUAUAAAGUG
Long non-coding RNA from Melitaea cinxia (Glanville fritillary), 462 nucleotides. RefSeq lists it as uncharacterized. The transcript has 2 exons. NCBI's taxonomy places the organism in Eukaryota, Metazoa, Arthropoda, Insecta, Lepidoptera, Nymphalidae. The record is from RefSeq and is a predicted model, not a curated record.